RNAcentral lists this ribosomal RNA (433 nucleotides) under uncultured bacterium. Its description in RNAcentral is "partial 16S ribosomal RNA". It matches the Rfam family "Bacterial small subunit ribosomal RNA", at positions 29 to 507 of the family's 1533-position model. The record is from RNAcentral.
AACGAACGCUGGCGGCAUGCCUAACACAUGCAAGUCGAACGAGACCUUCGGGUCUAGUGGCGCACGGGUGCGUAACGCGUGGGAACCUGCCCUUAGGUUCGGAAUAACUCCCCGAAAGGGGUGCUAAUACCGGAUAUUGUCUUCGGACCAAAGAUCUAUCGCCUUUGGAUGGGCCCGCGUUGGAUUAGCUAGUUGGUAGGGUAAAAGCCUACCAAGGCGACGAUCCAUAGCUGGUCUGAGAGGAUGAUCAGCCACACUGGGACUGAGACACGGCCCAGACUCCUACGGGAAGCAGCAGUGGGGAAUAUUGGACAAUGGGCGAAAGCCUGAUCCAGCAAUGCCGCGUGAGUGAUGAAGGCCUUAGGGUUGUAAAGCUCUUUUACCCGGGAUGAUAAUGACAGUACCGGGAGAAUAAGCUCCGGCUAACUCCGUG